AUUGAACGCUGGCGGCAGGCCUAACACAUGCAAGUCGAGCGGAUGAAGGGAGCUUGCUCCUGGAUUCAGCGGCGGACGGGUGAGUAAUGCCUAGGAAUCUGCCUGGUAGUGGGGGAUAACGUCCGGAAACGGGCGCUAAUACCGCAUACGUCCUGAGGGAGAAAGUGGGGGAUCUUCGGACCUCACGCUAUCAGAUGAGCCUAGGUCGGAUUAGCUAGUUGGUGGGGUAAAGGCCUACCAAGGCGACGAUCCGUAACUGGUCUGAGAGGAUGAUCAGUCACACUGGAGCUGAGACACGGUCCAGGCUCCUACGGGAGGCAGCAGUCGGGAAUAUUGGACAGUGGGCGAAAGCCUGAUCCAGCCAUGCCGCGUGUGUGAAGAAGGUCUUCGGAUUGUAAAGCACUUUAAGUUGGGAGGAAGGGCAGUAAGUUAAUACCUUGCUGUUUUGACGUUACCAACAGAAGAAGCACCGGCUAACUUCGUG
This 484-nucleotide ribosomal RNA is filed under the name uncultured bacterium. RNAcentral describes it as "partial 16S ribosomal RNA". It matches the Rfam family "Bacterial small subunit ribosomal RNA", at positions 30 to 507 of the family's 1533-position model. The record is from RNAcentral.